This 433-nucleotide ribosomal RNA is filed under the name uncultured bacterium. RNAcentral describes it as "partial 16S ribosomal RNA". It matches the Rfam family "Bacterial small subunit ribosomal RNA", at positions 28 to 507 of the family's 1533-position model. The record is from RNAcentral.
GACGAACGCUGGCGGCGUGCCUAACACAUGCAAGUCGAACGAGACCUGUGGAUCUAGUGGCUCGCGGGGGCGUAACGCGUUGGAAUCUGCCCUUGGGUUCUGAAUAGCGGGGAGAAAUUGCUACUAAUGCCGGAUGAUGUCUUCGGACCAAAUAUUUAUCGCCCAGUGAUGAGCCCGCGUAGGAUUAGCUAGUUGGUGGGGUAAUGGCCUACCAAGGCGACGAUCCUUAGCUGGUCUGAGAGGAUGAUCAGCCACACUGGGACUGAGACACGGCCCAGACUCCUACGGGAGGCAGCAGUGGGGAAUAUUGGACAAUGGGGGAAAGCCUGAUGCAGCAAUGCCGCGUGAGUGAUGAAGGAGUUAGGGAUGUAAAGCUCUGUUAACAGGGAAGAUAAUGACAGUACCUGGAGAAUAAGCCCCGGCUAACUACGUG